Molecule: ribosomal RNA, 1248 nt
Filed under: Triticum aestivum (bread wheat)
Lineage: Eukaryota; Viridiplantae; Streptophyta; Magnoliopsida; Poales; Poaceae
Description: partial small subunit ribosomal RNA
Source: RNAcentral
AUGCAGGACAUUUGGUGUCAUAAUCAUUCCCUAAUGACGAUACGAGAUGCUGCCCAUGCUGCCUGCGUAUCUCGUGCCUUUGGAAGUUCUUGGAAAAGCUAUCCCAACCUCAUAUUUAAUACUCGAACAAUAGUGUUGCGGGAUGGCAUGGAUUUCACCUGCCGAGUUGAUCACAUUUUGGAAAAACACUCUGGCAUUGGCGUGAAGGCAUUCGAGCUUAAUUUUCCCUUUUUCUACAAGUCUGAUGGCUAUAAAUAUCUCCAUAGGUGGCUUGAGAUAGUGGUUAAACCUGGCAUUGAAAAACUCACCCUUGCGAUUCCUGAGAGAGAGGAAGUCAACUUCCCAUGCCAAGUUCUAUCUGAUGGGAAUGGAAGCUCGAUGUGGUAUCUUCACCUUGCUUACUGUGCCUUCCAUCCUACAGUCAGUCUUGGUUGCUUGAGAAGUUUGACAGUGCUGUUUCUCGACUGUGUGCGAAUUACAGGGAACGAGUUAGGGUACAUUUUUUCCAGCUGUGUUGCUUUGGAGCAUUUGGAACUCAGGGAAUGCUCCGAGAUAACUUACUUGAAGAUACCUUCCCAGCUGCAGCGGCUCAGUUCCGUGCAUGUGUUAGAAUGCCACAAACUGCGAACGAUAAAGAUCGAAGCUCCAAAUAUUUGUAGGUUUCACUUUACAACAUUUCACAAUGUAGAGUUCUCACUUGGAGAAUCAUUGCAACUGAAGAACCUAGAGAUGCUCUGUUGCCGCCUCCUCUAUUAUGCACUUGAAGAGCUACCAUCCAUUGCGCCGAAUCUUGAAACUUUUAGCAUAUUUUCAUACCAUGAGGUGGUAAAUACAACAAUGGCAUUGGCGCCUAGCAAGUUCCUCCACCUGAAGUACCUGAGUAUUAGUAUUCAUGGAGACUACGAUUAUUUUUCUCUGAUUUCUUUUCUUGAUGCCGCUCCUUCCUUGGAGAUGUUCACACUGAAUGUACUGAUACGGCAAGAAUGCAUUGAUGAAUUGCUUUAUAAAGAUCCGCCACGUCUAAGGAAGUUGCCAGGAUACAUGCUUGACAAGCUCAAGACAGUGAAGAUAUCUCGGUUCUGCUCUUCAAAGAGCUUGGUUGAGCUGGCGUGCCAUAUUCUUGAAAACCCAGCAUCAGAGCGUCUUGCACUGGACACCACCGGUGGUGGUCUCCGGUGUUCUGACCGCGGUCCCGUAAAUGCUCCUUCUUGCAUAGAGCCACGGAUGCCCAUACAGCGGUCUUGGUAA